This 1096-nucleotide non-coding RNA is filed under the name Caenorhabditis japonica. RNAcentral describes it as "Eukaryotic large subunit ribosomal RNA". It matches the Rfam family "Eukaryotic large subunit ribosomal RNA", at positions 1489 to 2539 of the family's 3401-position model. Lineage: Eukaryota; Metazoa; Nematoda; Chromadorea; Rhabditida; Rhabditidae. The record is from Rfam by way of RNAcentral.
GACUGAAGUGGAGAAGGGUUCCACGUGAACAGUAGUUGGAUGUGGGUCAGUCGAUCCUAAGGUACUGGCGAAAGCCUUGUAUCAUCGGUGGCGAAAAGCUUGCUUUUUGUCCCCGCCCGUCGAAAGGGAAUAGGGUUAAUAUUCCCUAACUGAGAUGCAAAGAUUGUGUUCUUCGGAGCACAAGCGCGGUAACGCGUUCGAACUUGGUAAGUCGCUCAGAGACCGAGCUAGAGUUUUCUUCUCUAGUUAAGGAACGGACUCCCUGGAAUUGGUUCAGCCAGAGAUGGGGACGUUGUUUCCGAAAAGCACCGCGGUUUCUGUGGUGUCUCGUGCUCUCUGAACGGCCCUUUAAACACCAAGGGAGGCUAUUAAUUUGCACUCAAUCGUACCGAUAUCCGCAUUAGGUCUCCAAGGUGAACAGCCUCUAGUCGAUAGAAUAAUGUAGGUAAGGGAAGUCGGCAAACUAGAUCCGUAACUUCGGGAAAAGGAUUGGCUCCAGUGGUCGGAACGGUUGGCCAGUUGGUUGAUGCUUGUCCGGCGCUGUUCUGUCUGCUUGAUGCUUUCGGGCUGAUGGCGGCCUAGUGAUAGUGCUUGCUUGUUGACGCUUUCUGGUGUGUGCUUUGACCUCGGUCUUAGUAUCCUGAUCGUUCAUCUAAACGACUAAACUGGAACCGGUACGGACUCAGGGAAUCCGACUGUCUAAUUAAAACAGAGGUGACAGAUGGUCCUUGCGGACGCUGACUGUCACUGAUUUCUGCCCAGUGCUCUGAAUGUUAAAUCGUAGUAAUUCGAGUAAGCGCGGGUAAACGGCGGGAGUAACUAUGACUCUCUUAAGGUAGCCAAAUGCCUCGUCAUUUAAUUGUUGACGCGCAUGAAUGGAUUAACGAGAUUCCUACUGUCCCUAACUACUAUCUAGCGAAACCACAGCCAAGGGAACGGGCUUGGCAAAAAUAGCGGGGAAAGAAGACCCUGUUGAGCUUGACUCUAGUUUGACAUUGUGAAGAGUCAUGAGAGGUGUAGCAUAGGUGGGAGUCUUCGGACGCCAAUGAAAUACCACCACUUUCAUCGACUCUUUACUUAUUCGGUUAAAAGAGAA